This 1065-nucleotide long non-coding RNA is filed under the name Felis catus (domestic cat). Its description in RNAcentral is "lncRNA (ENSFCAG00000053830.1)". The record is from RNAcentral. Lineage: Eukaryota; Metazoa; Chordata; Mammalia; Carnivora; Felidae.
AUGGGGAAAGUGGUGUCUCCAUCCAGGGCUGCAAGGCUGUUUCCUUCGGUCCCUACUCAGCCCCAGCCUCGGGGCAAAUCGAGUUGGGGUUCACCUGGCUGCCGGAGACCUAAGUUUCCGCUAGGUCCAGCCAGGACCCCGGCAGCGAGUUUCCUUGGUCUCGUCAGUCGCAGGCUGCUGUCCCACGCGCGACGCCUCCACAGCAAACCCCUGAAUUUGCCCGUUCCACUCCUAUCCUGGCGCCCUCGGGGCGUGCUGGGGGCCGGGGCGGGGGGUGCGCGGGCCCGCGCCGAGGCGGUUGGGAGAGCUAGGACUCUUCGGCCGGACAGUUUCAGCGCUCGCUGGGCGUGGAAGGGGAGGGCGUCCCCCGCCCCGCCGACUGCGGGUCCGCGCGCCCGCCCCGGCCCGGGAACGUGUGGCCCGGUCUCCCCGGGGCGCACCCAGCGCACGCCCCUCGCCCGGGGACCUCCUCCCCACCAGCCUGGCCGGGCUGCGCGUUUCCCCGGAGCGCCGGCCUCCUGGUCGCUGGCUCGCUCUCCCUGCUGGCUGACCAAUCCCCGUUCGGAGUUCAAGAUUCCCGCCGCUCCACUCGCACUACGCCCUCGCUCCCUGUUUUCCGUUUCUGUUUUUAACUUUCACUCGGGUGAAGCUCGAUCGAUCCUCAGCUUUCAUCUCAGACGUCCCUCCAAGGGGGAUUUAAAGAGGAUCUCAAGCGCCCGCCGCCGCCCCCCACCGCGGUGCUCGCCCGCCCCUCGCCCACGGGAGACGCCCCCGCGGCGGGCGGGGCGGGAAGGCCCCGGUCGGCGGCGGGUGGGGCCGGGUGGAGCCGCCUCCCGCUCGGGGGAGCCCCGGGGCUCGGCCCAGCCCAGCCGCGCCUGCCCUCGGAGCAGCUGCCCGGAGAGCCGGCGGGGCGGCGGCCAGCAGGCGAUGGAGACGGGGAGACACCGGGCGAGAGGAGGCGGGGUGGGGGAGGCGGGGAGAGCGCGGGGGCGGAGGCUGGCAGGGGGCGCUGGAGGCAGGAGCCGCCCGUGCGCUCCUGGCGCCCGAGGGUGCAGGAGGCUCUGA